ACACUGCCCCAAGUGACUCUCACAGUGUGUCAGGGGUCAGCACCUCAGCGGAGAGCACAGUGGGGGAGCAGUGUCCUCACUGUAAGAGCACCCUGAAAACCCCCGACGGCGCUGCCAAGAUCCCCAACAGGUACUCUUCUCUGCAGUACAAACAGCAGUGGUGAGGACUAGUGCUGCCCCCUGCUGGCUGCCUCG
Periophthalmus magnuspinnatus is the source of this 195-nucleotide long non-coding RNA. RefSeq lists it as uncharacterized. The transcript has 3 exons. The record is from RefSeq and is a predicted model, not a curated record. NCBI's taxonomy places the organism in Eukaryota, Metazoa, Chordata, Actinopteri, Gobiiformes, Gobiidae.